AUUGAACGCUGGCGGCAGGCCUAACACAUGCAAGUCGAGCGGAUGAAGGGAGCUUGCUCCUGGAUUCAGCGGCGGACGGGUGAGUAAUGCCUAGGAAUCUGCCUGGUAGUGGGGGAUAACGUCCGGAAACGGGCGCUAAUACCGCAUACGUCCUGAGGGAGAAAGUGGGGGAUCUCCGGACCUCACGCUAUCAGAUGAGCCUAGGUCGGAUUAGCUAGUUGGUGGGGUAAAGGCCUACCAAGGCGACGAUCCGUAACUGGUCUGAGAGGAUGAUCAGUCACACUGGAACUGAGACAUGGUCCAGACUCCUACGGGAGGCAGCAGUGGGGAAUAUUGGACAAUGGGCGAAAGCCUGAUCCAGCCAUGCCGCGUGUGUGAAGAAGGUCUUCGGAUUGUAAAGCACUUUAAGUUGGGAGGAAGGGCAGUAAGUUAAUACCUUGCUGUUUUGACGUUACCAACAGAAUAAGCACCGGCUAACUUCGUG
This 484-nucleotide ribosomal RNA is filed under the name uncultured bacterium. RNAcentral's name for it is "partial 16S ribosomal RNA". It matches the Rfam family "Bacterial small subunit ribosomal RNA", at positions 30 to 507 of the family's 1533-position model. The record is from RNAcentral.